GACAGAGGGUGCAAACGUUGUUCGGAAUUACUGGGCGUAAAGCGUGUGUAGGCGGUCCACUAAGUCGGGUGUGAAAGCCCUGGGCUCAACCCAGGAAGUGCACUCGAAACUGGUGGGCUAGAGUAUCGGAGAGGUUGGUGGAAUUCUCGGUGUAGAGGUGAAAUUCGUAGAUAUCGAGAGGAACACCGGUGGCGAAGGCGGCCAACUGGACGAAUACUGACGCUGGGACACGAAAGCGUGGGGAGCAAACAGG
RNAcentral lists this ribosomal RNA (253 nucleotides) under uncultured bacterium. Its description in RNAcentral is "partial 16S ribosomal RNA". It matches the Rfam family "Bacterial small subunit ribosomal RNA", at positions 524 to 776 of the family's 1533-position model. The record is from RNAcentral.